RNAcentral lists this ribosomal RNA (468 nucleotides) under uncultured bacterium. RNAcentral describes it as "partial 16S ribosomal RNA". It matches the Rfam family "Bacterial small subunit ribosomal RNA", at positions 28 to 507 of the family's 1533-position model. The record is from RNAcentral.
GACGAACGCUGGCGGCGUGCUUAACACAUGCAAGUCGAACGGAAAGGCCCUGCUUUUGUGGGGUGCUCGAGUGGCGAACGGGUGAGUAACACGUGAGUAACCUGCCCUUGACUAUGGGAUAACUUCAGGAAACUGGGGCUAAUACCGGAUAGGAGCUCCUGCUGCAUGGUGGGGGUUGGAAAGUUUCGGCGGUUGGGGAUGGACUCGCGGCUUAUCAGCUUGUUGGUGGGGUAGUGGCUUACCAAGGCUUUGACGGGUAGCCGGCCUGAGAGGGUGACCGGCCACAAUGGGACUGAGAUACGGCCCAGACUCCUACGGGAGGCAGCAGUGGGGAAUAUUGCACAAUGGGCGGAAGCCUGAUGCAGCAACGCCGCGUGCGGGAUGACGGCCUUCGGGUUGUAAACCGCUUUCGCCUGUGACGAAGCGUGAGUGACGGUAAUGGGUAAAGAAGCACCGGCUAACUACGUG